GAUGAACGCUGGCGGCGUGCUUAACACAUGCAAGUCGAACGGUGAAGGCGGAGCUUGCUCUGCUGGAUCAGUGGCGAACGGGUGAGUAACACGUGAGCAAUCUGCCCCUGACUCUGGGAUAAGCGCUGGAAACGGCGUCUAAUACUGGAUACGAGCUGCGAAGGCAUCUUCAGCAGCUGGAAAGAAUUUCGGUCAGGGAUGAGCUCGCGGCCUAUCAGCUCGUUGGUGAGGUAAUGGCUCACCAAGGCGUCGACGGGUAGCCGGCCUGAGAGGGUGACCGGCCACACUGGGACUGAGACACGGCCCAGACUCCUACGGGAGGCAGCAGUGGGGAAUAUUGCACAAUGGGCGAAAGCCUGAUGCAGCAACGCCGCGUGAGGGACGACGGCCUUCGGGUUGUAAACCUCUUUUAGCAGGGAAGAAGCGAAAGUGACGGUACCUGCAGAAAAAGCGCCGGCUAACUACGUG
Molecule: ribosomal RNA, 468 nt
Filed under: uncultured bacterium
Lineage: Bacteria
Description: partial 16S ribosomal RNA
Rfam family: Bacterial small subunit ribosomal RNA
Source: RNAcentral